Molecule: RNA transcript, 1336 nt
Organism: Quercus robur (English oak)
Lineage: Eukaryota; Viridiplantae; Streptophyta; Magnoliopsida; Fagales; Fagaceae
Exons: 3
Source: RefSeq, a predicted model, not a curated record
CAAUCUGUGGUCGACAGUGAACUGUGGUUCAUCAGGAGACUCUGACUUUCCAACCAACAUCUACUAAUUUACAUGAGAGCUAUGAGGUGUAUCGUUUGUCCCAAAAACUUCUGAAAAAAAAAAUAAAUAAAUAAAUAAUAAAAAGAAAAAGAAAGAAAGAAAUAGCUAGAGAGAGUCCAUGGAAGAAAACAAUGUUAGUUUGAAACUUCUGAUAGACAGAGAGAGCCAAAGAGUGCUUUUUGCUGAAGCAGGCAAGGAAUUCAUCGAUUUCCUCUUUCACAGUCUGGCCCUACCCAUCGGAACUUUCGUUCCGCUUUUCGAAAAGCAAGGAAUACAGGGCAGCUUCGGCAAUAUUUACGAGAGCAUUGAAAAUUUAGGCAGUAUUUACCUUCAACCAGGCGUGAGCAAAGACAAUCUCCUGAAGCCCGAAGUACACAUAUCUGGUGGUGGCGCUGGACUCCCUCUUCUAUUGCAAAACAUUGAAUCAUCAUCGACAUUCAUGAAAUUGUAUAGUUGUUCUAGAAAAAGAUGCGUCUGUGACUCAUAUCUGGCUUAUGACUUAAGCGCAAUCUGUCCUUCGUGCGGAAAUGUUAUGAACCACGAGAAAAAUAUGGUAGACCCACCAACUCCAAGCGCAAGUACUGAGAGAGGGUACGUGACAGGGCUGGUUACAUACAUGGUGAUGGAUGAUCUAGUGGUGAAACCCAUGUCAACCACCUCUACUAUCACUCUGCUUAACAAGUUCAAUGUCCAGGAAUUUGGGGCUCUAGAGGAGAAAGUUGUCAAUUUGGGCAUGGAUGAGAAAAACGAAAUUACAAAGGCAAAGAAAACAGCACCAGCAGGGAAAGGAGCAGCCAACCGACUAAGAACUAUCCAUUUGGAUUAGGUGUCGGACCAUCGGGGGGGAACAUCCCUUCCACACUUGACUAGCAGCACUACAUCUAGCAUGAUGAGCAAGCAUAUGGGCCACCCUAUUGUGCUCUCUUCUCAGGUGGCAUAGCUUCCAACACCUAAAAAACUUAAGGAGGUCCUCAUUUCAGGGAGCGAAGAUAUUGAAGGCUUCUCUAUACUCAAAGACUGUUCUAACUGAUGUCUUCCUCUCGAAGUUGAAACAGGAAGUCAAACGUGAGAUACCUUUAUUUUGUUGAUGUUUGAUGAAUGGAGGCUGGGUUUCUCUGGUUUCGUGGGUUCCUCCAUCUCUAUGUUGAUGGUUGAUUUAUGCGGUAGUUUUUGGCUAAUUUGGAUUUUUGACAGUGGUUGUGGGGGGUUGUUUUGGGCUUGCUAGUUGUUGUUGGGUGAUUGUUCUUGGUUGGAAGUGGAUGUGGAUUGUGCCUUU